GGUACAGAGGACAUCGCAUUCAUUCCAGCCACGUUCUUACCAGAUGUGCAGAGAGCCUGGUGAGGCUGGAGAGGCGGAGGGUGAGAAAGGGAAGUGACUCGUCCACGCUCACCCGUUUUCGUCGCCUCCUGUGAUGGCACUGGAGUC
Molecule: long non-coding RNA, 147 nt
Filed under: Mustela putorius furo (domestic ferret)
Lineage: Eukaryota; Metazoa; Chordata; Mammalia; Carnivora; Mustelidae
Description: lncRNA (ENSMPUG00000030376.1)
Source: RNAcentral